GUGUGUUAUACGCGAGGGAAGGCCAGAAGCAGUAGGGUUGGAGUUGGGAGUGUGGAACGCUUGUGAAGGGCUGGAAUAGAGCGAGGCGAGUCGACUUGGAGAAGACAGGGAGGUUGCGGACGAGGGGAGAAUGGACAUAGGAUGGGGAUGAUGGUGCUGGUGGUGGAGGAAAUGAGUGAUUAAAGAAGGAUAAGGCCUGUCUUUGCUGCUUUUCUACAACAGGAAGGCCUUGUCUGUAAUGGCUGACAGCAGUACCUGCUUCCUAGGAGGACUCCUUUGGGCACCAUAAGCCAGAAGAGCCAGGGAAUCAGCAGCUCCAGGAGCAAUUCUCAACAAUGACAGGAGUUGGUGUCUAAAAACCACAGCUUCCUCAGGCCUUGGGUGGGAUGACUCUCAGUUGUGAUUUGCUGUCUUCCAGAGUUCUCCAGUGGCAUAAAUUUCAAUAUCCCGUCAUGGCAACAAAUGCAUCCUUUGGACCUGGAUCUGCCUAUUCAUGUGCAAAAUCUCCACGUGGCUCAUGUUUCCAUUGUCCCUGGUGAGUCUCUGUGCACAGACCGGCCAGCUCUGGCAAGGCUGAGAACGGAAGAGCUGACGUUUCUUUGGUCUUAUUUGACUGGAGUUUCCCUUGUUAUUUCUGACUUGUGGUGUGCCUGGCUUCCCCCACAUCUGUCUCCAUCAUGACUGGUGCCCUCUGACUCACGCAGCACAGCACUGUCUCUCCCAGGCACCGCCUGCUUGGAAUGGCUCAGAGCAGGCCCUCCUCCCUGUAGCUGACUCAGCUCUGCACGUGCUGCCCGUCACAGCCCUGUCCGGAGAUGGACCCAUGUUCACGAGUGGGCGCUGAGACCCCCACAUGGCUGCCUUUUGCUCAGUCACCCUGAGACUGGUUCUUGUUUCCAUAUGUCAACACACCUUGGAAAGAGAUGUAAUAAGGCCUCUGCUUCUGGUGACAGCUGUUCGUGAAAAAGCACUGAGUUUUGCCCAAAUGACAGCAGCUCCGGUGGUAGGGGAAAUCCAGCUGUAUCUGGUGUAAGAGGACUCUCCAAGCGUUGGGCAGAGGGUGGGAGUCCUCUUAAGUCUCAGCUCAAAUGCCACUUCAACUCAAUUCCACUAACAUGUGAUGAGUCCCUGCUAUCCCUCCUCCACACUGCCUCGCAAUGAAUUCUUUCUCCCUCGGGCCCCCAUUUCUGUGCUUAUCACAGUCCGACUUAAAUUCCAGUUAACUGUGACUGUGUUAUCCUUCCUGCUGGACCACCAGCUCCUUGAUGGGGCAGGGUGGGCGUGGGGUGGGGUGAAUCCUUCCACAGUCAUCUCUUUCUGCUAUACAGGACAGUUUACAGAAUAGUAAUCAACGUGUGUUUGUUGAAUGAAUACAAGUAGCUAACGUCCAGGCCCUACACGCCUUGUGUGUCCCUGGCCUCCAGGACACCCCACAUCCCUAGCCUCACCUUCCUCUGAGUCCUGGUUGCCCCCUCUCCCCUGUUUGAACCAAACAGAUUCAUUUUGGGGGGUGGGAGAUGUGAUAGGUCACCCCCCCACCCCAGGUGUGCCUCAGGCUCCCUGCCCCAGCAAUCUGUUCCACCCUCAUCCACCAAGGAGCCAGGUGUGAGAAACAUCACAUUCCUGCAGAGCCUCUCCAUAGAGUAAACGCUCAUCUGAAAACCACUGGGAGGUUACACCUUUAUAAGUGAAUCUUCCUUUGUGUGUCUCUGUGUGUGUGUGUGUGUG
This is a long non-coding RNA of Hippopotamus amphibius kiboko, 1728 nucleotides long. RefSeq lists it as uncharacterized. The transcript has 4 exons. The record is from RefSeq and is a predicted model, not a curated record. NCBI's taxonomy places the organism in Eukaryota, Metazoa, Chordata, Mammalia, Artiodactyla, Hippopotamidae.